This 673-nucleotide long non-coding RNA is filed under the name Homo sapiens (human). RNAcentral describes it as "novel transcript, antisense to TCL1A". Lineage: Eukaryota; Metazoa; Chordata; Mammalia; Primates; Hominidae. The record is from RNAcentral.
ACCAUACAUCAGUCAUCUGGCAGCAGCUCGAGAAGCAUGUCCUCCACGCCGUCAAUCUGAGAGGCAGAGAGAGAGAGAAGGCAUUGAUCGGCCAGAGCCCUCCACUCCCUCCAUUCCUCACUCCUGCGCCUUCCCCUAGCUGGAAACAGCAGGCUGGAAUGCAAUGGUGUGAUCUUGGCUCACUGCGACCUCCACCUCCUGGGUUCAAGCGAUUCUCCUGCUUCUGCCUCCCGAGUAGCUGGGAUUACAGACAAAGAAUUCAAGACUAAACUGGGCAUGGUGACACGCACCUGUAGUCUCAGCUACUUGGGAGGCUGAGGCAGGAGAAUCACAUGAACCUGGCAGGCGGAGGUUGCAGUGAGCCGAGAUUGUGCCACUGCACUCCAGCCUGGCCACAGAGCGAGACUCCGUCUCAAAAAAAAAAAAAAAAGAAAAAAAGAAAAAAGAAGAAGUCAAGACUAAGAAGAGUGAAGUAUGAAGUAAUUCACCCACAGACACCCAGCUAGUGAGUGGCAGACCUGGAAGACAAACUAGUUCUGUUUGGCAUCAGAAUCUAUGCUGUCAGCCACCUCACCACAUUCAUGUGACAUCCAACAAAGUGGUGCCUUCACCUGCUACUAAGUCUUGCUAGGGCUAGUUCCAGAGCCAAGACUAUGAAGUGGACAAUGAUCUA